GUCCAGACUCCUACGGGAGGCAGCAGUGGGGAAUAUUGCACAAUGGGGGAAACCCUGAUGCAGCAACGCCGCGUGAGUGAAGAAGUAUUUCGGUAUGUAAAGCUCUAUCAGCAGGGAAGAAAAUGACGGUACCUGAGUAAGAAGCCCCGGCUAACUACGUGCCAGCAGCCGCGGUAAUACGUAGGGGGCAAGCGUUAUCCGGAUUUACUGGGUGUAAAGGGAGCGUAGACGGCGAUGCAAGUCUGAAGUGAAAGCCCGGGGCUCAACCCCGGGACUGCUUUGGAAACUGUAUGGCUGGAGUGCUGGAGAGGCAAGCGGAAUUCCUAGUGUAGCGGUGAAAUGCGUAGAUAUUAGGAAGAACACCAGUGGCGAAGGCGGCUUGCUGGACAGUAACUGACGUUGAGGCUCGAAAGCGUGGGGAGCAAACAGGAUUAGAUACCCCGGUAA
Molecule: ribosomal RNA, 447 nt
Filed under: uncultured bacterium
Lineage: Bacteria
Description: bacterial SSU rRNA
Rfam family: Bacterial small subunit ribosomal RNA
Source: RNAcentral